UACAGAGGUCUCGAGCGUUAGGCGGAAUCACUGGGCUUAAAGCGUGUGUAGGCGGAUCGUUAAGUGCCUUGUGAAAAUCCCACGGCUCAACCGUGGAACUGCUUGGCAUACUGGCGGUCUUGAGCAACCUAGGGGCGAGCGGAACAAAUGGUGGAGCGGUGAAAUGCGUAGAUAUCUGGAGGAACACCGGUGGCGAAGGCGG
Molecule: ribosomal RNA, 202 nt
Filed under: uncultured bacterium
Lineage: Bacteria
Description: partial 16S ribosomal RNA
Rfam family: Bacterial small subunit ribosomal RNA
Source: RNAcentral